This 70-nucleotide transfer RNA is filed under the name Bos taurus (domestic cattle). It matches the Rfam family "tRNA". From Rfam's summary of the family: Transfer RNA (tRNA) molecules are approximately 80 nucleotides in length. Their secondary structure includes four short double-helical elements and three loops (D, anti-codon, and T loops). Lineage: Eukaryota; Metazoa; Chordata; Mammalia; Artiodactyla; Bovidae. The record is from Rfam by way of RNAcentral.
UCCCUGGUGGUUCAGUUAGAACGCUGAGCUUCCACUGCAGCAGGCCUGGGUUCAAUCCCAGGUCAGGGAA